This 644-nucleotide long non-coding RNA is filed under the name Sinocyclocheilus anshuiensis. Its description in RNAcentral is "lncRNA (ENSSANG00000034961.1)". The record is from RNAcentral. Lineage: Eukaryota; Metazoa; Chordata; Actinopteri; Cypriniformes; Cyprinidae.
UCCCUCCAGCUUCAUUUGUUGUAGCCAGUGAAGCGAACACACACUCCAGUCUGGAACCCGAUAAGCGGCAUGAACAGAAAGAGGAACGAGUGAGGAAACCACUUCGCUCUUUCUGGAGACCCUGAGCUUCGGUCACAGUGUUAUAUGAACCUUGUGAUAUAGGCUUCAGUGUCCUUUAUGUGCGCUUCUCGCGGGAAGGCCCCAGAACAGAGGAGCAUUGUGGGACAGGAGGCAGUCAGGGCAGACGAUUUACAUGUUGGCCGGUGGACGAGGAAUGUUGGCGAGAGCCGAGAAAACCAGUUUUGCACAUCGACCCACAACAAUGACAUUGGAUUAAAAAUGGCAUUUGCAGAAUCCGAGGUGUGUUGAAACCACGCGAGCUGCCAAGCUUCUGAAUUAAUGAUGUACUUCAUUACUAAAAUAUAUUUGUGUGUUAUUCUAACUGAAUGCUUGUACGUUCACUCUAUUACAUGUUGAUGGAAAUAACGUGUUUUGAAUGCCAUUUACACUUCAGGAUAAACACUUUUUUACGCUUCCACACGCUUCCACUUUUGCCGGCAGUGAAAUCCAUCCGAGUGUAAAAUGCGAUGAUCGUUUGUCUUUGUUAAAGUCUCAUUCUUCACUCAACGCAGUCUUUGACGGCA